Molecule: unclassified non-coding RNA, 253 nt
Filed under: uncultured bacterium
Lineage: Bacteria
Description: contains 16S-23S intergenic spacer region
Rfam family: Bacterial small subunit ribosomal RNA
Source: RNAcentral
UACGAAGGGGGCAAGCGUUGUUCGGAUUUACUGGGCGUAAAGGGCGUGCAGGCGGAUUGAUAAGUCGACUGUGAAACCUGUGGGCUCAACCCACAGCCUGCAGUCGAAACUGUCAAUCUUGAGUACAGAAGAGGAGAGCGGAAUCGGUAGUGUAGCGGUGAAAUGCGUAGAUAUUACCGAGAACACCGGUGGCGAAGGCGGCUCUCUGGUCUGAUACUGACGCUGAGACGCGAAAGCUAGGGGAGCGAACGGG